RNAcentral lists this ribosomal RNA (616 nucleotides) under uncultured bacterium. RNAcentral's name for it is "bacterial SSU rRNA". It matches the Rfam family "Bacterial small subunit ribosomal RNA", at positions 229 to 842 of the family's 1533-position model. The record is from RNAcentral.
UCAUGCGUCGCAUUAGCUAGUUGGCGGGGUAACGGCCCACCAAGGCGACGAUGCGUAGGGGUUCUGAGAGGAAGGUCCCCCACACUGGUACUGAGACACGGACCAGACUCCUACGGGAGGCAGCAGUGAGGAAUAUUGGUCAAUGGCCGCAGGGCUGAACCAGCCAAGUCGCGUGAGGGAUGACGGUCCUAUGGAUUGUAAACCUCUUUUGUCAGGGAGCAAAGGGCGCCACGUGUGGCGCUUUGCGAGUACCUGAAGAAAAAGCAUCGGCUAACUCCGUGCCAGCAGCCGCGGUAAUACGGAGGAUGCGAGCGUUAUCCGGAUUUAUUGGGUUUAAAGGGUGCGCAGGCGGAAUGUCAAGUCAGCGGUAAAAUUUCGGGGCUCAACCCCGUCGUGCCGUUGAAACUGGCGUUCUUGAGUGAGCGAGAAGUAUGCGGAAUGCGUGGUGUAGCGGUGAAAUGCAUAGAUAUCACGCAGAACUCCGAUUGCGAAGGCAGCAUACCGGCGCUCAACUGACGCUCAUGCACGAAAGCGUGGGUAUCGAACAGGAUUAGAUACCCUGGUAGUCCACGCAGUAAACGAUGAAUACUAACUGUCCGGGCAGAAUGAUGCCUGG